GCAUUCACUGUCGAAUGGAUUCUUCCACUGAUCAAAAUCCAAUAUGGCGGACUCAAUGGGUUGCUGGUGAAGAUAUAGACCGAGUUUUAUGGAUGACACGCACCAGUUUUCCUAUUUCGAACCGGCAAUUUCAGAUCGAAUUUCCUCCACUCAUUUUUGGACAAUUUUUGAUUACAUAUAGAUCUCAUGACGUGCUUUACUUUGAUAAGACUAUAUAGGCUAUAGCUGAAGUUUAAACGAUUACUUUUUUGUGCGAUGAUGGAGGUGUUUUAAGCUUUUAUUGGACUUAAAGUGUACAAUUUUACAGAUUCUCGAAAUUAUAUACAUGUGUAUCACUAUGUAUAUUAAUUGUUUUAAUUUCAGAUAAUUUUCCAUACAUAUGGAAAGAAGAAAUAUAUGAUAGUGGGUGAAAAAACACCCUCAUAUAUAAUGCUUCAUGAAUAUGCAAAACCAUGCCAACAGUCUACAGACUCCAGAUGGAAAGAGAUGGAGAAAGAAUUUCUAAAGGGGUAUUCAAGGACCCAUCCUCCUCCACACUAAUUCAUAUUGGAAGGAAUUGACACCAACUUGAAGAAAGAAUUACAGACUUCCAGAACAGGUGCAUCAUGCAGAUCCUUUUAAAAAGGAGAGGCCAGAUCUUCAGAUGACUUUAUUGAAAAUGAGAAAUUUCUGAGUGGAAGUGACGAAUGUGGCAUGCAUACAAGCAGACAUCAGCAUUCCUUCCCUCUUGUUUGUAUCAGAGGUGAGCUUUUUGAGAAAGACUCAUGGAGGAAGUUUGAGAGUGUCAGUUCUCAGAUCAAAAAGUUAGCUAGCAGUAGGAGGAGUAGCAAUUCAUUCCACAGUAUGACAUGAGAAAUACAUGACUAGAAAGACCUUAAAAAGGAGAUUUGGCAUUGUUUCAUGUGGAGAUUAAAGAACCUUCGAAAUAUAUAACGCAGACAUGUUUCAGUUACAUGGGGAUAACACUUAUGAGGAAUUUUGCUAACUUUCAGAUUGGAUUGUGUUGCACAAGAAAUGCUUGAUCACAACCCUCUUCUGUUAAAAACCUUUUCUAUGCAAAUAAUUAGUUUAAAUGAAAUUUAGCUAUUUCAUUAGUAAACAUGUUUUAUGCGCAAGUGUGUGUCUUUGACAUUAAAUGCUAUGAUAUUGUCGUAUUCUUAAACAAUGGAAGAUCUAUACUAGUUCUUUCAAAGGAAAGCCAACAACAGGAAUCGAACCUGUUCCUCCAUCGUACAGAUACGAAAGUGUGCACCAUUACACCAUGUUGGCAUACAUUAAGAACUGGUAGCCUUGGAGAGUAAAUAUUGCAUUAUUCUGUACAGUUGAUACUGGUUUGUGAUAUAUAUAUAUAUACAAGUAUAUAUAAUGUAUGCCUCAUGUUUGGUAGUCGUCAAUAAAGCAUUUGAAUUGAAUAUAUUCCUUGUU
Long non-coding RNA from Ostrea edulis (European flat oyster), 1425 nucleotides. RefSeq lists it as uncharacterized. The transcript has 5 exons. NCBI's taxonomy places the organism in Eukaryota, Metazoa, Mollusca, Bivalvia, Ostreida, Ostreidae. The record is from RefSeq and is a predicted model, not a curated record.